RNAcentral lists this ribosomal RNA (253 nucleotides) under uncultured bacterium. RNAcentral's name for it is "partial 16S ribosomal RNA". It matches the Rfam family "Bacterial small subunit ribosomal RNA", at positions 524 to 776 of the family's 1533-position model. The record is from RNAcentral.
UACGUAGGGGGCAAGCGUUGUCCGGAUUUAUUGGGCGUAAAGCGCACGUAGGCGGCUUAGCAAGUCGGAAGUGAAAUCCCUCGGCUCAACCAAGGAAGUGCUUUCGAAACUGCUGAGCUUGAGUACUUAAGAGGAUCGCGGAAUUCCCGGUGUAGAGGUGAAAUUCGUAGAUAUCGGGAGGAACACCAGUGGCGAAGGCGGCGAUCUGGGAAGAUACUGACGCUGAGGUGCGAAAGCGUGGGGAGCAAACAGG